RNAcentral lists this ribosomal RNA (234 nucleotides) under uncultured bacterium. RNAcentral's name for it is "partial 16S ribosomal RNA". It matches the Rfam family "Bacterial small subunit ribosomal RNA", at positions 565 to 793 of the family's 1533-position model. The record is from RNAcentral.
GCGCGCGUAGGCGGUUAUUUAAGUGAGGUGUGAAAUCCCCUGGGCUCAACCUAGGAACUGCAUUUCAAACUGGAUAACUUGAGUAUGUCAGAGGGUAUUGGAAUUUCCCCGUGUAGCAGUGAAAAUGCGUAGAUAUGGGAAGGAACAUCAGUGGCGAAGGCGAAUACCUGGGAUAAUACUGACGCUGAGGUGCGAAAGCGUGGGGAGCAAACGGGGAUUAGAUACCCCUGGUAG